Myotis lucifugus (little brown bat) is the source of this 888-nucleotide long non-coding RNA. RefSeq lists it as uncharacterized. Lineage: Eukaryota; Metazoa; Chordata; Mammalia; Chiroptera; Vespertilionidae. The record is from RefSeq and is a predicted model, not a curated record. The transcript has 3 exons.
UCUCCUACCAGAUUAUUAGGGGCCCUCUGGCUACGGGGCUAAAGUUAAGCCUCCCUUUCCUUUACAAGUGACUGAAAUGGCAGCAAAACUUGCUCCAACCCCAAAUGGCACUGAGGGCCUUUGGGAUGUUUCCAGAUUUGGGAGAUACAGAUGCUGCUCUGAACACUCAGAAUUGCCUGGAGAAAGUGCUGAAUGUCACGUCUUUUGUUUUGGGUGAAUUAUCAAGAGUGCGAUUUCUGUGGUGCAACUUUCCAAGCUGCCGCAGGAACAGUUCCUGAGUGCUGUGGCCUCGCGUGUCCCAGGUCCGCGCGGCGGGGUCCGCAUCCUCACCAGGAAAAUUCAUGUGCUACAGUUAGCCAUUAUGAGGCGUAUAGGCCAGUGCGUGUGGUGUGUUCAGUGCUGGGCAGUCACACUCACACCCCCAACACCUCGGGCCCAUGAAGAAAUCCCUGCCGUUUCCUCCGUCUCCAGGGAACCGCCGAGCUGCACACUCAGUGGGCUGCAGUGUAAGCUGGUAACUGCACUGGGAAAUCAGGACACUGGGGCUCAAGGAACUCAGUACUUUAAGAUUUCAAAUCUUUGCACACAGACCACCACUAUGCCUCUGGAUAGUGGCGGUUGGGACUGAAGAUUCACUUAUCUCCCGUGUCACAGAGCACGGACUUCCAAAUCCUGGCACCACCCCACCGCUGACCACGGCUCCCGGCUACACUGGUUCCAGUGGAGGACGAGGGGCGGUGUAUUUACGGAGCUCAGCUGUCUGCGUGAGGACCCUGCCACCAGAUCAGCGCCAGCACGCAGACACCCGGAAUGUACCACGCCUUGUAGGCCACGUGUGAGCUUCCCUUUUGUAUUUUUGUGUGGUUCAGGGCAAAGCUGCAGAAAUGA